UUGAUUCGGCCUAUAGCUUUAAGUCAGAAUGUAUGCUCUCGCUGUCCCAUUUGAAGUUAAAAUUACUUUUUGAAAAUAAAUAAGUUCUAAUUGCUUUUAAAGUGCUCUCGCUGUUUUUUAGCUUUAAGUCAGAAUGUAUGCUCUCGCUGUCCCAUUUGAAGUUAAAAUUACUUUUUGAAAAUAAAUAAGUUCUAAUUGCUUUUAAAGUGCUCUCGCUGU
Molecule: long non-coding RNA, 219 nt
Filed under: Lathyrus oleraceus (garden pea)
Lineage: Eukaryota; Viridiplantae; Streptophyta; Magnoliopsida; Fabales; Fabaceae
Description: Pisum sativum (pea) long non-coding RNA (PSAT_LNC019876)
Source: RNAcentral